AAUUCUUAUACGUUAAGGCCUUUCUAUCUUUUUGGAGUGGUUAUGGAUCCUUUUCAAUGGGAAGAGAUCUUUUAAAAAGUUUCUUCCGAAAUGGUUAUGUAUACUGCUAUUCUGUAUUUCUUAUUUCAUGUUCUUUUAUAUCCUAAAUUAUUAUCUUAAUUUUUUUUCCUUGCAGUUUUUCUAUUGGUCAUUGUAGUCGUGACCUCAUCUUAAACAAAAGGCUAAAGAUGGUGAUUCGGAUGUUACUAAGACAUACAUCUUCUCAAAUGGUCAUGAAGCUGCUCCUCGAAAAGUAAUGUCUUCAACACUUGCUCACUUUACCCGUACUCAUGAACUUCUGCAAUUAGUAUAUAUCUUUUAUUUUUCUAUUGUGUUUUUUUAUAUGUAUUUGGGACCUUUUCCAACUAUAAAUGCUAAAAAUUAUAUUAAAUGUUAUUUCUCUUUCCUAUUUUUGUUUCAUGUUUACAUUGAUUAUAGUUGAAAAUAUAGUGCUUUUGAUCUUCGUUUGAAGCUUUUUCUGUUAGUUUAUGGAGUUUCUUUGUCCCUUCAAUUCUUUGGUUUAUAAUUGUUCGUAUUUAUUGACUUUAAGUUUGUUGGUUUUCGCAAGUUGGUUGGUGUAUGAAUUUACUAGAUUUGGAUUGUUUUGUUUUUUACAGAUAUUAUUAAAGUUGUUUCUCACGUGAAUUUUUCUAAGUCUAUUAUGACAAAUGGUAAUUGUAAUUGCAUGAGUCACUAGAGUAACUUGCUUCUUCUUUCUCCUCCUUUUUGAUUUCUCUCCUCUUAUUUCUUCCUUUGAUCUUCAAGUAGUAUAGUUUCUGUCUGUAAAAAAUAUAAUUCUGAAUGAUACAUAAUUUAUAAGAAAAAACCAUUGAAUGUUUCCUUGCUGUGAAUUUGGUCAAAUGUUUUUGUAAUUUGGAAAGGAAAAAAAAUUCUCUCUUUUGUUAUAAAUGCAAGUGGAAAAUAAUGUAUGAAGAAUUUAACUAUGUUUGUCAUGCACUUUUCGACCAAUUAUACUCCUUUAAUAGUCCAUUGAUAAUAUAAUUUUGAUUUUUGUGAAAAAUGUGAUCUAUAUUUUUGUAAUGAAAUAAUAACUACGGGGUGAAAAAAGAAGUAAGGAAUAAAAUUGAAAGAAGAGGGAAAAAGGAAAAGAAGAAUCAUUUGGGAAAGAAAAACAGACUCAUCCAGGGAAGUGCAUUGGUCUUCUCAGGUUCCUUCAGAUCUAGCAUUUUACUUUUCUUGAUGACAAUAGUAGCCAUUUGAAAUUAUUAGUAGAGUUUUCAAGAAAUUAUCAUUGAUACUCAUGGAAACUUAGGAUCUUUUAUUAGUAGAGUUUUCAAGAAAUUAUCAUUGAUACUCAUGGAAACUUAGGAUCUUUCUCCCAUAUUGAGUUUAGUUGUUGACUAUGAAAUUUUUGUAUAUGAUAUAUGCAUGGAAUUUAAUUAAAUUUUGUGAAUACUUUCAUAUUGUCCAUUUAGUUCUUCAAUUGAUUUUUGAAUAAUGAGUUUUUUUCCAUGAAUAACAUGUGUAUGAACUAAUGCUAAUUCCUGGAGUUUUAUUGAUUUCUUAACCCAAAAAGAAAUUAUGUUUUCUUUUUAUCAAUUCCUAUGUUGUCGACUCAUUGUCAUUUUAUUUUCCUUUUUAAUUGUUUUUUAGUAGCGAAAAAACAUACUUAGUCCUAAUUAAACAAAAAUUUAUCUCUAUCAAGACAUGAUUUAUAAGGUCAUUCUAAAUUCCCUAUUAUAUCGUGCGAAGCACGAACACAUUCACUAGUUAUUUUCUAAUUACAUGGUGCUUCUCAAGAGUUAAAAGCCCUCACUAUAUUAGUCUCCAAGACCUGCAAAAUAUUUCUACAAGUGUUAAAAGAAUGAAUAUUAACCACAAAUUGUAUGCCACCAAGUUCCAGAUGAUCCCUAGCAAGUCAUAAACAUGGAAGAUAUGAAUUAUACAGUGAGUGAGCUGUGCGCUCAUCAACCUGUCAGAUAGAGAUGCUGUUGGGAAUACCACGACAGGUAACACCCGGACCAGAAGUAGGUAGCAGCAGUUCAUAUGGAGGAAUGCCAGCACCACUUCGGUUUUUAAGACGAUUAUCCUUGUUUCUUUGGUUGAUGGUGUGUUCUACCUCCUCUAAUUUGGCACAGAAUCUUUCAGAAAUCCUCAAAACUUCAUGAUCAUUUACGGAGAAUCUUUGAAGUUCGUGCACCUGAUGCAAGUAUUCCUCGUCUGCUGAAUGAGUCGAUAAGGUAUCUUGAACGGCCAUCACUUUAGUAGCUUGGAGUUGAGUAGGCAAAGAUGCCAGAAAAGUGAACUCAGGGUGAAGAAUAAAGUUCUCAUAGCUGGGAUCAUCUUCACGUGGGAUGAGCUUUCGCAUAAGGGUAGGACGGUUAGGUACAUAACCUCCAAAAGGGUACUGCCCAAAGUUUAUUGCUGCAUGUUGGCCUGAGGCAAUCCAAAUCAUUAUGGUGAGUAUGCCAGACAAGUCUUCUUUAGUAACAAGCUUUGGCCACCAAGGCUCAUCUUUCUUGUCAGGGUGUCCCUUGCUCUUGAUCUCAUUCCACCACCCUUGGAGCUCAACAUCUGAAGUGACAGAAUUAGGCUCGGAAUAGUAGUGCUCAACAUACGACUCCACAUAUUCUUUUAUGGCAGACCAUAUGAGAAGGCCGUCUGCUGCAUAAGGGUAGUCUUCAAUCACAAGUUUCACCCCCAAAGGCAUUGAUGGAUCCUCCACGGCCAUUCCCCUUAAAAGCAGUCAACAUUGUGUUUAUUAGUUGAGAAGUUGCAAUAAUCAGAUGAAACAGUAGUUCAAGGUUUUAAGAGAUGUCUUGCUUUAGGAAAUUUACCUUCUUAUUAAAUCUGAAGGCAGAGCUUCCAUAUCAAACCGCCACAUGCUCUUGUAAGCUGCAGAGCUUAUUUCCAUUGAAUAUCUUCCGGGGCUAAAACAUGCUUCAAUAACUCCACCCCCGUUUAUCAAACUCUGCCUCGCAAGCGCAUUGAUUUCCAGUGUGUAGCGCAUANNNNNNNNNNNNNNNNNNNNNNNNNNNNNNNNNNNNNNNNNNNNNNNNNNNNNNNNNNNNNNNNNNNNNNNNNNNNNNNNNNNNNNNNNNNNNNNNNNNNNNNNNNNNNNNNNNNNNNNNNNNNNNNNNNNNNNNNNNNNNNNNNNNNNNNNNNNNNNNNNNNNNNNNNNNNNNNNNNNNNNNNNNNNNNNNNNNNNNNNNNNNNNNNNNNNNNNNNNNNNNNNNNNNNNNNNNNNUCCAUACAAGCAUGAGUCCUUAACCUGAGAAUUCAAUUUACAUGCACAGUGAGAUCCCCGACUAAUAGGGUCAAAGCUAGAGAAAAACUUUCUGCUAUGUCUUUCCAAUCGUCCAGUUUCAGUUUCAAAUCUAUUUCAACACAUGGUCAAUGUCGAUGUGCCCAAAGGAGAAGAUUAUUAGAUAUUAUGAAAGCACAAUGAGAACUAACAUUGGAAGAAAGCUACGUAAAUAUGUUUACAAAAAAAAAAAAAAAUAGGGAAGGGCUCUAAGCUUACCAGUGGUUCACCAACUGAUGAAUGCCAGCAUCAUUUGAACAAACAUGUGCUUUGGCUAGAUUCCAGAUCCAGUGACUGGUUGAAUCAUGUCCAUGGGUGAAUAUACGCUUGUUCCUAGGUGAAGAAGGUGUUGGAGGCAGUGAAAGUUCAACGAUAAUCGGCUUUAGAACACCUCUGGAUGUGUGGAAGAGAAGUGUUCUUGAUGCAUAAGCUUUCCUCCCUGGCAAGUUGUUCAUCUUCCCGAUAAAUGGCAAAAGCAUGUCAUGAUAAUCAAGUAUAAACAAUCUCUUGUCUUCAAUUGCCUGAGCAGAAAAUUUUGAGAUGAAAUUAGAGCUGGUUUAAACAUGAAAAGAGCCACCACAAAUGAUCACUGUGUUUGAGAAACUACUACCAGGUGCAUAGCCAGUCUGGUGAAUUCAGUUUCCUAGUUAGAGCAAAGUAGCAACAAAGUACACUGGAAAAUUAUUACCUCUUCAACAGUCAGUCCAUUAAGCUCUUGUUCUAUAAGAUCCCUGGUAAUAGCUGAAUCAGGGGGGCCAUAAACAGCUGGAUCUAGUUUGCUAACAAUUGGAAAUUCCUGUUGAAUACCGCAAGCUUACUUACUGAAUAUCUAAAGAAAGCUUACAAUUUAUUUAGUACCAAAAUAUUAACAAAAAUUACCCUCAAAAGUUCAAUAUUCACAGGGUUAACCCCUGCUAAAGCUUGUCGCGCAAACUCAUUAUCUCGCAACCAAGCAAAUCUAUCCCCUGUGUCACAAAAAUCAGAAAGAUGCAGAGUUUAUGAAAUAUCACUCCAGAAACUACAGUCGGAAAGAAAUUAGAGAUAGCAGGUUUCUGAUGGCAUAUAUUGUCAAUCUUGUGAAUAAAACAGGAUUCUUCAGUCUUAAUAAUGCUAAAUGAUACAGCUAAAAACAUAUACUGAUGAAAAAGUAAUUUAAUAUGUGUGCUUACGUUUGAUUAUAGCAGGAAUCUCAUAUUUGAGCAACCUUUUGCUGACAGAAAAUACUUUAUCCAAAGUAUCAGAAAGAAAUUUAUUCUUCUGUGAAUGUUCAUCAUCGUUCAAUUCAAACCCAUCGUUAUAGAGUUUAUCUAUGUCGGAGAAGUUUGUGAAGGGAAUGUCUGAGCUUGACAGUGUGGCAGCAAUUAGUGGUACCAGGUUAUGUAACAGAGCUUUCAACCUUCCAGCAGAAAAAGUAUUUUGCUUAAUUUCUUCAAAAGUUUCGUCUCUAGGGACAUAAACUGGAUGAGGUUUCUCUAUUCGACUCUCUGCUAGUGGAUCUGUCAGCAUCCAAAGAUCAAGAAAAAAGGUAUGUCACAGAAUUGAGGCACGAAAAUUUUUCUCCUCAACAGAUUUCUCAGUACCUGUUUUAGUUGGACUUCUACCAGUCCGACAACGCCUAGGAUAAGGUCUCUCUUUGCCACCUAUCAGUGGCCUAGCAAGAUCCUCACUUUUGUCGGGAUUUCCUAAAUCAUUAUAAACAUCAUAAUCAUAGAUUCGUUCAUGUAGCUUCCUCUCGCCUUUCCCAGUUCCACGAAUGAUCAACAAGUCUUCACGUCGAAGAUCCUUGAUGCCAGGUGGUGUUUCAGAUGGUAGAUAUGCCUGCUAAUGCAGGAGCAUCCUUGAUCAAGCACCAAUAUCUGCUUUACAAAAUGAAAAGUAAAAAUCAUUUAAAAGUAUCGCUUACCUGAUUUUGGAAGAUAAUUCUACUCUCUGGAUUAUCUUUUCGAGAAUGAAUCCAUGUAUUAGCACUAAAGAAUAUAGGGCCUUCAUUAAAGUUAUGAACAACAAUCUGCACUAAGUGUAUCUCUUUGUCAAGGAAAUUGGUAAUAAUGAUAGCUCCAGGA
Molecule: long non-coding RNA, 5367 nt
Filed under: Nicotiana tabacum (common tobacco)
Lineage: Eukaryota; Viridiplantae; Streptophyta; Magnoliopsida; Solanales; Solanaceae
Description: long non-coding RNA (NTAB_LNC002899)
Source: RNAcentral